This 66-nucleotide transfer RNA is filed under the name Thryssa kammalensis (Kammal thryssa). RNAcentral's name for it is "tRNA-Cys". It matches the Rfam family "tRNA". Rfam says of the family: Transfer RNA (tRNA) molecules are approximately 80 nucleotides in length. Their secondary structure includes four short double-helical elements and three loops (D, anti-codon, and T loops). The record is from RNAcentral. Lineage: Eukaryota; Metazoa; Chordata; Actinopteri; Clupeiformes; Engraulidae. RNAcentral also lists the same sequence under 1 other name.
AGCUCUGUGGUGAAGUUCAUGUCGGGUUGCAAACCCGAAGACGCGGGUUGACGCCCGCCGGGGCUU